GGGUUGUGAGGUUAAGCGACUAAGCGUACACGGUGGAUGCCCUGGCAGUCAGAGGCGAUGAAGGACGUGCUAAUCUGCGAAAAGCGUCGGUAAGGUGAUAUGAACCGUUACAGCCGGCGAUGUCCGAAUGGGGAAACCCAGUGCAAUUCGUUGCACUAUCGUUAACUGAAUACAUAGGUUAACGAGGCGAACCGGGGGAACUGAAACAUCUAAGUACCCCGAGGAAAAAAAAUCAACCGAGAUUCCCCCAGUAGCGGCGAGCGAACGGGGAGCAGCCCAGAGUCUGAAUCAGCUUGUGUGUUAGUGGAACGGUCUGGAAAGUCCGACGGUACAGGGUGAUAGUCCCGUACACCAAAAUGCACAGGCUGUGAACUCGAAGAGUAGGGCGGGACACGUGGUAUCCUGUCUGAAUAUGGGGGGACCAUCCUCCAAGGCUAAAUACUCCUGACUGACCGAUAGUGAACCAGUACCGUGAGGGAAAGGCGAAAAGAACCCCGGCGAGGGGAGUGAAAAAGAACCUGAAACCGUGUACGUACAAGCAGUGGGAGCACCUUCGGGUGUGACUGCGUACCUUUUGUAUAAUGGGUCAGCGACUUAUAUUCUGUAGCAAGGUUAACCGUAUAGGGGAGCCGCAGGGAAACCGAGUCUUAACUGGGCGUUAAGUUGCAGGGUAUAGACCCGAAACCCGGUGAUCUAGCCAUGGGCAGGUUGAAGGUUGGGUAACACUAACUGGAGGACCGAACCGACUAAUGUUGAAAAAUUAGCGGAUGACUUGUGGCUGGGGGUGAAAGGCCAAUCAAACCGGGAGAUAGCUGGUUCUCCCCGAAAGCUAUUUAGGUAGCGCCUCGUGAAUUCAUCUUCGGGGGUAGAGCACUGUUUCGGCUAGGGGGUCAUCCCGACUUACCAACCCGAUGCAAACUACGAAUACCGAAGAAUGUUAUCACGGGAGACACACGGCGGGUGCUAACGUCCGUCGUGAAGAGGGAAACAACCCAGACCGCCAGCUAAGGUCCCAAAGUCAUGGUUAAGUGGGAAACGAUGUGGGAAGGCACAGACAGCCAGGAUGUUGGCUUAGAAGCAGCCAUCAUUUAAAGAAAGCGUAAUAGCUCACUGGUCGAGUCGGCCUGCGCGGAAGAUGUAACGGGGCUAAACCAUGCACCGAAGCUGCGGCAGCGACACUAUGUGUUGUUGGGUAGGGGAGCGUUCUGUAAGCCUGCGAAGGUGACCUGUGAGGGUUGCUGGAGGUAUCAGAAGUGCGAAUGCUGACAUAAGUAACGAUAAAGCGGGUGAAAAGCCCGCUCGCCGGAAGACCAAGGGUUCCUGUCCAACGUUAAUCGGGGCAGGGUGAGUCGACCCCUAAGGCGAGGCCGAAAGGCGUAGUCGAUGGGAAACAGGUUAAUAUUCCUGUACUUGGUGUUACUGCGAAGGGGGGACGGAGAAGGCUAUGUUAGCCGGGCGACGGUUGUCCCGGUUUAAGCAUGUAGGCUGGUUAUCCAGGCAAAUCCGGAUAAUCAAGGCUGAGGUGUGAUGACGAGGCACUACGGUGCUGAAGUAACAAAUGCCCUGCUUCCAGGAAAAGCCUCUAAGCAUCAGGUAACAUCAAAUCGUACCCCAAACCGACACAGGUGGUCAGGUAGAGAAUACCAAGGCGCUUGAGAGAACUCGGGUGAAGGAACUAGGCAAAAUGGUGCCGUAACUUCGGGAGAAGGCACGCUGGUGUGUAGGUGAAGUCCCUGCGGAUGGAGCUGAGACCAGUCGAAGAUACCAGCUGGCUGCAACUGUUUAUUAAAAACACAGCACUGUGCAAACACGAAAGUGGACGUAUACGGUGUGACGCCUGCCCGGUGCCGGAAGGUUAAUUGAUGGGGUUAUCCGUAAGGAGAAGCUCUUGAUCGAAGCCCCGGUAAACGGCGGCCGUAACUAUAACGGUCCUAAGGUAGCGAAAUUCCUUGUCGGGUAAGUUCCGACCUGCACGAAUGGCGUAAUGAUGGCCAGGCUGUCUCCACCCGAGACUCAGUGAAAUUGAACUCGCUGUGAAGAUGCAGUGUACCCGCGGCAAGACGGAAAGACCCCGUGAACCUUUACUAUAGCUUGACACUGAACAUUGAGCCUUGAUGUGUAGGAUAGGUGGGAGGCUUUGAAGCGUGGACGCCAGUCUGCGUGGAGCCAACCUUGAAAUACCACCCUUUAAUGUUUGAUGUUCUAACGUUGGCCCCUGACCGGGGUUGCGGACAGUGUCUGGUGGGUAGUUUGACUGGGGCGGUCUCCUCCCAAAGCGUAACGGAGGAGCACGAAGGUUAGCUAAUCCUGGUCGGACAUCAGGAGGUUAGUGCAAUGGCAUAAGCUAGCUUGACUGCGAGCGUGACGGCGCGAGCAGGUGCGAAAGCAGGUCAUAGUGAUCCGGUGGUUCUGAAUGGAAGGGCCAUCGCUCAACGGAUAAAAGGUACUCCGGGGAUAACAGGCUGAUACCGCCCAAGAGUUCAUAUCGACGGCGGUGUUUGGCACCUCGAUGUCGGCUCAUCACAUCCUGGGGCUGAAGUAGGUCCCAAGGGUAUGGCUGUUCGCCAUUUAAAGUGGUACGCGAGCUGGGUUUAGAACGUCGUGAGACAGUUCGGUCCCUAUCUGCCGUGGGCGCUGGAGAAUUGAGGGGGGCUGCUCCUAGUACGAGAGGACCGGAGUGGACGCAUCACUGGUGUUCGGGUUGUCAUGCCAAUGGCACUGCCCGGUAGCUAAAUGCGGAAGAGAUAAGUGCUGAAAGCAUCUAAGCACGAAACUUGCCCCGAGAUGAGUUCUCCCUGAGACUUUAAGUCUCCUGAAGGAACGUUAAAGACGAUGACGUUGAUAGGCCGGGUGUGUAAGCGCAGCGAUGCGUUGAGCUAACCGGUACUAAUGAACCGUGAGGCUUAACCUUACAACGCCGAAG
RNAcentral lists this ribosomal RNA (2923 nucleotides) under Klebsiella pneumoniae. Its description in RNAcentral is "bacterial LSU rRNA". It matches the Rfam family "Bacterial large subunit ribosomal RNA". RNAcentral also lists the same sequence under 1 other name. Lineage: Bacteria; Pseudomonadati; Pseudomonadota; Gammaproteobacteria; Enterobacterales; Enterobacteriaceae. The record is from RNAcentral.